UCUCAUAUAAUGGUAUCCAUGACAAUGAAUUUUCAGAUUUUUAUGUCAGAUAGACAUCGUUCAUCGAAUCAAUAAUUUUAUGAAACAUAUUUAUUUGUAUACCUUUACAUUACGUAUAUAAUAGUCUAACUAUUGUAUUAAUUAGAAAUCAAUGUCUUGAGGAAAUGUCUUCUAGGGAUGAUGGCCCAAAUGAAAAUUCUUCCCAAGCUGAAAAAGUAUUUCCAAUCCAGCUAAUCCAGGAAACGAAACUCUCUAAAGAAAAUGAAAAAUUCGAAAAAAAAGAUAAAAUAAAGAGUACGUUAGUCGAUGGGACCAAGGAACAAUCUCAAUCCUCAUCGCAAAAUGAGAAAACGGUAGAGACCGUAUACGCAGGUGUGUCAACCCCAUCACCCGUGAGCAUAUCUCAAAAAGCAAAAGAGCAAACCAACAUAGAGGAUGAUCCUUGUAUAAAGAAAGAGAUAAAGGAAGAAGUAAUCAUACAUAGAUUUAAAACACCUGGUUUGGAUCCAAGGUUUCAGCAGCAGAAUCAAACAAUGAGAUGCUACGUUAUGUACACAGACUUCUAUCGAUGCGAGAAGAUCCUUGGAGAAGGUGCAGAGGCUUGUGUCUGGUUCAAGGAAGUUUUCACUUCUAUAUGUCCUACAGAUUGGAUACGCCGUUGGGAUGAGCACAGAGCCGAAGGUCGUUUUCCCUGGUUUCGCUAUAAAUCGCAGGGAAAGUUUCCUGGUGACAGAUACGGCGACGUUUGAAAAGUGGAGAAUCCUUCCCCAUUCUAAGGGAUGUCCUGACAUCCAAUGCAUGUCCUAAUCAAUUUUCUAAUAAAGUAGAAUCUACCUCAAUAGUAUAGCUAUGGUACAAGAAGAUUAUAAUUAUGAGGUAUAUAUGUAACGUAUGAAAAUUGAAAGGAUCUCUCUGAACACCUUGCAUCCUUUGAUUCUUGCGACGUCCA
Cephus cinctus (wheat stem sawfly) is the source of this 949-nucleotide RNA transcript. It is a transcript of the gene named cytochrome c oxidase subunit 6b-1-like, with no coding region annotated. Lineage: Eukaryota; Metazoa; Arthropoda; Insecta; Hymenoptera; Cephidae. The transcript has 3 exons. The record is from RefSeq and is a predicted model, not a curated record.